CAGGACACCCGUGGCGCACACAGCGGCCGGAACACACGCAAGGCACCACCGCAGACAGGUCGGCCUCAGCAGCAGGGCGACUCUUAACUGAAGGGAACGCACUGCCGUGAUAACACUUGAGAGUGCUGCACCAUGUCUAACCCUGACCACCUGAGCCCGCGGGCAUCGACAAGCCCAGGGAAGGCAAGGUGACGAUCAGCUCCCCCAUAAGUUCAUCCAGCAGCUGAGAAGCGGGGGCCGUUUACAGGACCUAACUACACUUUGGUGAUAAGCUACCAGACCACAUCAUACUUGGUUGAAAACUCAUAAAAAUAAUUACCAGCCAUUACAAAGAAGCUUCAAAACCUCUUCCACAGAACUGUAGGACAAGAAUACAACCUACUGUCUUUGUGUCUGUCUUUGAAAUAGUGCACACCAAGAAAUACACGGAGACGACAAGAACUGAAGUCUAACCCUACGUAGGCAGCUUCUAACGCGUGGUGUGGGGAAAUGUUUAAAACCAGGGCCAGCCACAUUGUGUUCCCUCUGUUCUGGAAAAGGGGACUUGCUGAGUUAUCCAAAUAAAGAUUGCUUCAAA
This is a long non-coding RNA of Odocoileus virginianus texanus, 577 nucleotides long. RefSeq lists it as uncharacterized. The record is from RefSeq and is a predicted model, not a curated record. Lineage: Eukaryota; Metazoa; Chordata; Mammalia; Artiodactyla; Cervidae.